RNAcentral lists this ribosomal RNA (1474 nucleotides) under Klebsiella pneumoniae. RNAcentral's name for it is "bacterial SSU rRNA". It matches the Rfam family "Bacterial small subunit ribosomal RNA". The record is from RNAcentral. Lineage: Bacteria; Pseudomonadati; Pseudomonadota; Gammaproteobacteria; Enterobacterales; Enterobacteriaceae.
UCGAGCGGUAGCACAGAGAGCUUGCUCUCGGGUGACGAGCGGCGGACGGGUGAGUAAUGUCUGGGAAACUGCCUGAUGGAGGGGGAUAACUACUGGAAACGGUAGCUAAUACCGCAUAACGUCGCAAGACCAAAGUGGGGGACCUUCGGGCCUCAUGCCAUCAGAUGUGCCCAGAUGGGAUUAGCUAGUAGGUGGGGUAACGGCUCACCUAGGCGACGAUCCCUAGCUGGUCUGAGAGGAUGACCAGCCACACUGGAACUGAGACACGGUCCAGACUCCUACGGGAGGCAGCAGUGGGGAAUAUUGCACAAUGGGCGCAAGCCUGAUGCAGCCAUGCCGCGUGUGUGAAGAAGGCCUUCGGGUUGUAAAGCACUUUCAGCGGGGAGGAAGGCGGUAAGGUUAAUAACCUCAUCGAUUGACGUUACCCGCAGAAGAAGCACCGGCUAACUCCGUGCCAGCAGCCGCGGUAAUACGGAGGGUGCAAGCGUUAAUCGGAAUUACUGGGCGUAAAGCGCACGCAGGCGGUCUGUCAAGUCGGAUGUGAAAUCCCCGGGCUCAACCUGGGAACUGCAUUCGAAACUGGCAGGCUAGAGUCUUGUAGAGGGGGGUAGAAUUCCAGGUGUAGCGGUGAAAUGCGUAGAGAUCUGGAGGAAUACCGGUGGCGAAGGCGGCCCCCUGGACAAAGACUGACGCUCAGGUGCGAAAGCGUGGGGAGCAAACAGGAUUAGAUACCCUGGUAGUCCACGCCGUAAACGAUGUCGAUUUGGAGGUUGUGCCCUUGAGGCGUGGCUUCCGGAGCUAACGCGUUAAAUCGACCGCCUGGGGAGUACGGCCGCAAGGUUAAAACUCAAAUGAAUUGACGGGGGCCCGCACAAGCGAUGGAGCAUGUGGUUUAAUUCGAUGCAACGCGAAGAACCUUACCUGGUCUUGACAUCCACAGAACUUUCCAGAGAUGGAUUGGUGCCUUCGGGAACUGUGAGACAGGUGCUGCAUGGCUGUCGUCAGCUCGUGUUGUGAAAUGUUGGGUUAAGUCCCGCAACGAGCGCAACCCUUAUCCUUUGUUGCCAGCGGUCAGGCCGGGAACUCAAAGGAGACUGCCAGUGAUAAACUGGAGGAAGGUGGGGAUGACGUCAAGUCAUCAUGGCCCUUACGACCAGGGCUACACACGUGCUACAAUGGCAUAUACAAAGAGAAGCGACCUCGCGAGAGCAAGCGGACCUCAUAAAGUAUGUCGUAGUCCGGAUUGGAGUCUGCAACUCGACUCCAUGAAGUCGGAAUCGCUAGUAAUCGUAGAUCAGAAUGCUACGGUGAAUACGUUCCCGGGCCUUGUACACACCGCCCGUCACACCAUGGGAGUGGGUUGCAAAAGAAGUAGGUAGCUUAACCUUCGGGAGGGCGCUUACCACUUUGUGAUUCAUGACUGGGGUGAAGUCGUAACAAGGUAACCGUAGGGGAACCUGCGGUUGGAUCACCU